UGGGGAAUAUUGGACAAUGGGGGGAACCCUGAUCCAGCCAUGCCGCGUGUGUGAAGAAGGCCUUAUGGUUGUAAAACACUUUAAGCGAGGAGGAGGGUACUGGUAUUAAUACUACCAGCUACUGGACGUUACUCGCAGAAUAAGCACCGGCUAACUCUGUGCCAGCAGCCGCGGUAAUACAGAGGGUGCGAGCGUUAAUCGGAUUUACUGGGCGUAAAGCGUGCGUAGGCGGCUAAUUGAGUCGGAUGUGAAAUCCCCGAGCUUAACUUGGGAAUUGCAUUCGAUACUGGUUAGCUAGAGUGUGGGAGAGGAUGGUAGAAUUCCAGGUGUAGCGGUAAAAUGCGUAGAGAUCUGGAGGAAUACCGAUGGCGAAGGCAGCCAUCUGGCCUAACACUGACGCUGAGGUACGAAAGCAUGGGGAGCAAACAGGA
This 431-nucleotide ribosomal RNA is filed under the name Pseudomonadota bacterium. RNAcentral's name for it is "Proteobacteria bacterium partial 16S ribosomal RNA". It matches the Rfam family "Bacterial small subunit ribosomal RNA", at positions 355 to 777 of the family's 1533-position model. Lineage: Bacteria; Pseudomonadati; Pseudomonadota. The record is from RNAcentral.